This 447-nucleotide ribosomal RNA is filed under the name uncultured bacterium. RNAcentral's name for it is "SSU rRNA". It matches the Rfam family "Bacterial small subunit ribosomal RNA", at positions 26 to 518 of the family's 1533-position model. The record is from RNAcentral.
AGAGCGAACGCUGGCGGCAGGCCUAACACAUGCAAGUCGAACGGAUCCUUCGGGAUUAGUGGCAGACGGGUGAGUAACGCGUGGGAACGUGCCCUUUGGUUCGGAACAACACAGGGAAACUUGUGCUAAUACCGGAUGUGCCCUUCGGGGGAAAGAUUUAUCGCCAUUGGAGCGGCCCGCGUUGGAUUAGGUAGUUGGUGAGGUAAAGGCUCACCAAGCCUACGAUCCAUAGCUGGUCUGAGAGGAUGAUCAGCCACACUGGGACUGAGACACGGCCCAGACUCCUACGGGAGGCAGCAGUGGGGAAUCUUGCGCAAUGGGCGAAAGCCUGACGCAGCCAUGCCGCGUGAAUGAUGAAGGUCUUAGGAUUGUAAAAUUCUUUCAGCAGGGACGAUAAUGACGGUACCUGCAGAAGAAGCCCCGGCUAACUUCGUAGCCAGCAGCCGC